RNAcentral lists this transfer RNA (73 nucleotides) under Streptomonospora alba. It matches the Rfam family "tRNA". Rfam says of the family: Transfer RNA (tRNA) molecules are approximately 80 nucleotides in length. RNAcentral also lists the same sequence under 1 other name. The record is from Rfam by way of RNAcentral. Lineage: Bacteria; Bacillati; Actinomycetota; Actinomycetes; Streptosporangiales; Nocardiopsidaceae.
GCCGACGUAGCUCAAUCGGUAGAGCACUCGCCUUGUAAGCGAUAGGUUAGGGGUUCGAUUCCCCUCGUCGGCU